AUUGAACGCUGGCGGCAGGCUUAACACAUGCAAGUCGAGCGGGGGAAGGUAGCUUGCUACCGGACCUAGCGGCGGACGGGUGAGUAAUGCUUAGGAAUCUGCCUAUUAGUGGGGGACAACAUCUCGAAAGGGAUGCUAAUACCGCAUACGUCCUACGGGAGAAAGCAGGGGAUCUUCGGACCUUGCGCUAAUAGAUGAGCCUAAGUCGGAUUAGCUAGUUGGUGGGGUAAAGGCCUAACAAGGCGACGAUCUGUAGCGGGUCUGAGAGGAUGAUCCGCCACACUGGGACUGAGACACGGCCCAGACUCCGACGGGAGGCAGCAGUUGGGAAUAUUGGACAAUGGGGGGAACCCUGAUCCAGCCAUACCGCGUGUGUGAAGAAGGGCUUAUGGGUGUAAAGCACUUUAAGCGAGGAGGAGGCUACUUUAGUUAAUACCUAGAGAUAGUGGACGUUACUCGCAGAAUAAGCACCGGCUAACUCUGUGCCAGCCGCCGCAGUAA
Molecule: ribosomal RNA, 501 nt
Filed under: uncultured bacterium
Lineage: Bacteria
Description: partial 16S ribosomal RNA
Rfam family: Bacterial small subunit ribosomal RNA
Source: RNAcentral